This is a non-coding RNA of Musa acuminata subsp. malaccensis (wild Malaysian banana), 398 nucleotides long. The record is from RefSeq and is a predicted model, not a curated record. NCBI's taxonomy places the organism in Eukaryota, Viridiplantae, Streptophyta, Magnoliopsida, Zingiberales, Musaceae.
CUAUGCACGCCUAAGGUUAAGAAGGACGAGCUGGCCGAGCUGGUCAGGCUGUGGGACAGGCUCAGGUUAAGAAGGCGAGCUGGUGAGCAGCGCACGAGACGCGGCCGAAUCGUGCAAGCAGUCGUGCCAGGAGAGCAAGGAGCAGGCCGGCGGGGUGAUGCACCAGACCGGGGAGAAGAUGAUGAACAUGGCUCGGGGGGCAACUGAUGCCAUCACGAAUGCUGUGGGCAUGGGAAGCAAAACCGGCACCACCAAGCAGUAAGCCGUUGCUCUCUAUUUCACGGGCUCAAUAUGUCCGCUAAUUAGUACCUCACCACAUCAUUUUCCACUCUGUUCCAAUUUUUUGUUCUCCUUUUAGAUGCUAAAUAAGAGAGCUCGGCCGUCAUCUUUUGAGUUUA